Non-coding RNA from Pelobates cultripes (western spadefoot toad), 432 nucleotides. Lineage: Eukaryota; Metazoa; Chordata; Amphibia; Anura; Pelobatidae. The record is from the annotation of a GenBank genome assembly.
ACCUUUCACACUUAAACAAUACAAAACACUUUUAGUAUCUCAGUAUUAUUAGUAAAAAUACAAACUACAAUCAAUACAAAAGCAAAGGUAGUUAAAAUAUUACAAUGCCUGCAAAUGCAGCAAUAAUGAUUAGGAGAAGAGACAGACUCUCAACCUCUCAGUAACAAUAGUUACCGUUGCCAAGGGAUGACUAUGUUCGGGGAUUGUCUAUGAUUUUUGUCCCUGUUUCCAUAUAUGCAGAAAUUGUAAUAUUUUGGCUGACUUUGUAUGUAUAUUUAUUGCAGAUUGUAUUUGUACUAAUUAUACUGAGAUACUAAUAAAGUGUUUUUUGUUAUGGAUUAUGUUCUAUUGUUCGUUGACAUUAAUUUACCAAAUAUCUGUUCCCAUGUGUUUUGCUUAUAAUUUUAUGCCUGUCUUGCUGUAAUAUCUAGA